Molecule: ribosomal RNA, 1429 nt
Filed under: symbiont of Climacodium frauenfeldianum
Lineage: Bacteria; Bacillati; Cyanobacteriota; Cyanophyceae; Chroococcales; Aphanothecaceae
Description: bacterial SSU rRNA
Rfam family: Bacterial small subunit ribosomal RNA
Source: RNAcentral
GAUGAACGCUGGCGGUAUGCCUAACACAUGCAAGUCGAACGAAGUCUUCGGACUUAGUGGCGGACGGGUGAGUAACGCGUGAGAAUCUGCCUUGAGGAUGGGGACAACAGUUGGAAACGACUGCUAAUACCCGAUGUGCCGGAAGGUGAAAAUUUUUUGCCUCAAGAGGAGCUCGCGUCUGAUUAGCUAGUUGGUGGGGUAAAAGCGUACCAAGGCAACGAUCAGUAGCUGGUCUGAGAGGAUGAGCAGCCACACUGGGACUGAGACACGGCCCAGACUCCUACGGGAGGCAGCAGUGGGGAAUUUUCCGCAAUGGGCGAAAGCCUGACGGAGCAAUACCGCGUGAGGGAGAAAGGCCUUUGGGUUGUAAACCUCUUUUCUCAGGGAAGAAGAUUCUGACGGUACCUGAGGAAUAAGCAUCGGCUAACUCCGUGCCAGCAGCCGCGGUAAUACGGAGGAUGCAAGCGUUAUCCGGAAUUAUUGGGCGUAAAGCGUCCGCAGGUGGUCUUUCAAGUCUGCUGUCAAAGACCAGAGCUUAACUCUGGGCAGGCGGUGGAAACUGAGAGACUAGAGUUCGGUAGGGGUAGCGGGAAUUCCCAGUGUAGCGGUGAAAUGCGUAGAUAUUGGGAAGAACAUCGGUGGCGAAGGCGCGCUACUGGACCGAAACUGACACUCAGGGACGAAAGCUAGGGUAGCGAAAGGGAUUAGAUACCCCUGUAGUCCUAGCUGUAAACGAUGGAAACUAGGUGUGGCUUGUAUCGACCCGAGCCGUGCCGUAGCCAACGCGUUAAGUUUCCCGCCUGGGGAGUACGCACGCAAGUGUGAAACUCAAAGGAAUUGACGGGGGCCCGCACAAGCGGUGGAGUAUGUGGUUUAAUUCGAUGCAACGCGAAGAACCUUACCAGGGCUUGACAUGUCCGGAACUUUUCUGAAAGGAGAAGGUGCCUUCGGGAACCGGAACACAGGUGGUGCAUGGCUGUCGUCAGCUCGUGUCGUGAGAUGUUGGGUUAAGUCCCGCAACGAGCGCAACCCUCGUCUUUAGUUGCCAGCAUUAAGGUGGGCACUCUAGAGAGACUGCCGGUGACAAACCGGAGGAAGGUGAGGAUGACGUCAAGUCAGCAUGCCCCUUACGCCCUGGGCUACACACUUACUACAAUGGUUGGGACAAAGGGCAGCGAACCCGCGAGGGAGAGCGAAUCUCAUCAAACCCAGCCUCAGUUCAGAUUGCUCUCUGCAACUCGAGAGCAUGAAGGAGGAAUCGCUAGUAAUCGCAGGUCAGCAUACUGCGGUGAAUUCGUUCCCGGGCCUUGUACACACCGCCCGUCACACCAUGGAAGCUGGUCACGCCCGAAGUAGUUACCCUAACUUUCGAGAGGGGGACUCCUAAGGCAGGGCUAGUGACUGGGGUGAAGUCGUAACAAGGUAGCCG